RNAcentral lists this long non-coding RNA (374 nucleotides) under Carica papaya (papaya). Its description in RNAcentral is "long non-coding RNA (CPAP_LNC005527)". The record is from RNAcentral. Lineage: Eukaryota; Viridiplantae; Streptophyta; Magnoliopsida; Brassicales; Caricaceae.
UUACAGUCUAAAAGCAUGAUUGUAUCUGUUUUAUCUAUUUUAUGAUUUAAAUGCAUGUAUUACUGUCUUACUUGACUACUGUUUGAUUUUGAGAUUUAAAAUAUGAUUGCAUUACUGGAUGCAUGUUCGUUUGUUUAUGUGAUUAUGUUUGAUUUGGUAACGGAGACUAAGAAAAAAUAGGAUAGGGGGUGUGAUCAAGUAAACAGAUAAGAUGACAGCCUCACUAGAUAUCAUGGGAGAUGGUGGCCGGACCGAGUUCAUAGAAAAUCCUAACGUGAACGUUGUCUCAUACCGGACGGGGUAUGGAGACUUGAUAAUUUGGCGCCCAUACCGGACGGGGUAUGGGGACGGCCCGCUUCACCCUCAUACCGGAC